Molecule: non-coding RNA, 90 nt
Filed under: bovine gut metagenome
Description: Cyclic di-GMP-I riboswitch
Rfam family: c-di-GMP-I riboswitch aptamer
About the family: GEMM was predicted in a large-scale screen for bacterial structured RNA regulatory elements.
Source: RNAcentral
AUAAAUGGCAAAUCAAUGGAAACGUUGUGACGCAAAGUCCGGGAGUCUAAGGUGUAAACAUAAGAGGAAACAUUAUGAUAGUCCAACUGC